RNAcentral lists this ribosomal RNA (1398 nucleotides) under metagenome. RNAcentral describes it as "bacterial LSU rRNA". It matches the Rfam family "Bacterial large subunit ribosomal RNA", at positions 1497 to 2925 of the family's 2925-position model. The record is from RNAcentral.
AAAGGAAAGACCGGUGCAAGCGGGACAGUAGCCAUGCAGGCAAAUCCGUGUGGCAAUACGAAGGCGUGACGCGGACCGAAAUAAAGUAGGGAAGCAUGUGAGCCAUGUGCCAAGAAAAGCCGCUAUAGAUCAUAUCGUACCCGUACCGUAAACCGACACAGGUAGAUGAGGAGAGAAUCCUAAGGCCGACGGGAGAAGCAUUGUUAAGGAACUCGGCAAAAUGACCCCGUAACUUCGGGAGAAGGGGUGCCCACGCGAGUGGGCCGCAGAGAAUAGGCUCAAGCAACUGUUUAGCAAAAACACAGGUCUAUGCGAAACCGAAAGGUGAGGUAUAUGGGCUGACGCCUGCCCGGUGCUGGAAGGUUAAGAGGAGGAGUCAGGCAACGAAGCCCCGAAUUUAAGCCCCAGUAAACGGCGGCCGUAACUUUAACGGUCCUAAGGUAGCGAAAUUCCUUGUCGGGUAAGUUCCGACCCGCACGAAAGGCGUAAUGAUUUGAGCACUGUCUCGACAAUGCACCCGGUGAAAUUGAAGUACCAGUGAAGAUGCUGGUUACCUGCGCCAGGACGGAAAGACCCCAUGGAGCUUUACUCCAGUUUGAUACUGGGAUUCGAUACUGAAUGUACAGGAUAGGUGGGAGGCUGAGAAGCGUGGACGCCAGUCUGCGGUGAGCCGCUGUUGGGAUACCACCCUUUGAGUAUUGGAUUUCUAACCUGCGCCCGUGACCCGGGCGGGGGACAAUGUCUGACGGGGAGUUUGACUGGGGCGGUCGCCUCCGAAAGGGUAUCGGAGGCGCUCAAAGGUUCCCUCAGAAUGGUUGGAAACCAUUCGCAGAGUGCAAAGGCAGAAGGGAGCUUGACUGUGACACCGACGGGUGGAGCAGGUACGAAAGUAGGACUUAGUGAUCCGGUGGUAUGAAAGUGGGAUUGCCAUCGCUCAACGGAUAAAAGCUACCCUGGGAUAACAGGCUUAUCACUCCCAGGAGUUCACAUCGACGGAGUGGUUUGGCACCUCGAUGUCGGCUCAUCGCAUCCUGGGGCUGUAGCAGGUCCCAAGGGUUGGGCUGUUCGCCCAUUAAAGCGGUACGCGAGCUGGGUUCAGAACGUCGUGAGACAGUUCGGUCCCUAUCCGGCGCAGGCGUAGGAUAUUUGAGAGGAGCUGUCCUUAGUACGAGAGGACCGGGAUGGACAGACCGCUGGUGUAUCUGUUGGUGACCAACACCAUGGCAGAGUAGCCAAGUCUGGCAGGGAUAAACGCUGAAGGCAUCUAAGCGUGAAGCCCCCCUCAAGAUGAGAUAUCCCAAUAAGUAAGACCCCUUAGAGAGUAUGAGGUAGAUAGGCUUAAGGUGUAAGCAUAGUAAUAUGUUCAGCUGAUAAGUACUAAUAGGUCGAGGGCUUAUC